This is a non-coding RNA of Halomonas sp. QHL1, 99 nucleotides long. NCBI's taxonomy places the organism in Bacteria, Pseudomonadati, Pseudomonadota, Gammaproteobacteria, Oceanospirillales, Halomonadaceae. The record is from Rfam.
AUCCCUCGACAGGGGCGCCCUCCGUUAAGGGUGGGCUGAGAAGCACCCUUUGAACCUGAACCGGAUAACACCGGCGUAGGGAGUCGUGGUAACGCUUAC